This is a long non-coding RNA of Rosa rugosa (rugosa rose), 332 nucleotides long. RefSeq lists it as uncharacterized. The transcript is spliced from 3 exons. NCBI's taxonomy places the organism in Eukaryota, Viridiplantae, Streptophyta, Magnoliopsida, Rosales, Rosaceae. The record is from RefSeq and is a predicted model, not a curated record.
CCGGCCAAAUCCGGUGAUAAUUUUUACACCAUUCUCUUCCUCUCUUCAUGAGCUUUCUAUUGAUAUAUGUUUCAAGACCUAUCAUCAAGUGUGUGUGACGAAUCGAAGGAGAGAAAAUUGAGUGAUUUUCCGGCUAUUUUUCAAAUUCCGACCAAACCGUCGACAUUUUGGAGAAACCCCAAGGUAAUCCGGUUGAGCAAGCUUCCGAGGACAUUCCCGAGACGAGACUCACCUAGUCACCCUUCAUUGUAGUAGAUUUUGCUGAGGUUGGACUGCACCACGUUGAGGCAUUCUCCUUAUCCACCAUCAUCCGUCUCGACUUGUAGGAUUUG